CAUUUUAUAAAUAUACCUGAGCUCCUUGCCUUCUGGGAGGUGGAUUUGAGACUUGUUCACCCAUCUCCUCACUUGGCUGCCUGGCGAAUAAACCCUCUCUUUGCUGCAAACCUUGGGGUCUCAGCAUUCUGGCUUGCUGCACAUCAGGCAAAACGAACCUGGUUCGGGCUUAGUGUUUCCCAAACGAUGCUGAAGACUGGUUGGUUCUACAUAGUCUCACGUGUUGUCUCCAGGGAGAUAAGAAGAGGAACAACGAGUGAGAAAGUUGGAAGUCCAGCUGAUGUUCUCAAGGAAGGCAAAGAGCUGCUGUCACUCACAGUCAAGGAGUUCAUCCUCGUCACGCACUUCAGUAUAAUGUGUUGGCUGGUGAGGAAUAUUUUUGUUUACAAAUGAAGGCUAACACAGAAGAGGGACUGUAAUGAUGGGGUCUUAUACUGUCCAGACCUUUUAAAUUCACUUUU
Long non-coding RNA from Balaenoptera ricei (Rice's whale), 461 nucleotides. RefSeq lists it as uncharacterized. The transcript is spliced from 3 exons. The record is from RefSeq and is a predicted model, not a curated record. Lineage: Eukaryota; Metazoa; Chordata; Mammalia; Artiodactyla; Balaenopteridae.